UACGAGGGGGGCAAGUGUUGUUCGGAAUCACUGGGCGUAAAGGGAGCGUAGGCGGAUGUUUAAGUUAGAUGUUUAAAACCGGGGCCUAACCUCGGAGCGGCAUCCAAAACUGGGCAUCUUGAAUAGGUCAGAGGCUGGUGGAAUUGGAGGUGUAGCGGUGGAAUGCGUAGAUAUCGUGAAGAAGACCAGUGGCGAAGGCGGGUCUCUGGACAGUUCCUGACACUGAGGCACGAAGGCCAGGGGAGCAAACGGG
RNAcentral lists this ribosomal RNA (253 nucleotides) under uncultured bacterium. RNAcentral's name for it is "partial 16S ribosomal RNA". It matches the Rfam family "Bacterial small subunit ribosomal RNA", at positions 524 to 776 of the family's 1533-position model. The record is from RNAcentral.